UCAUCGGAUGACUAGCUACUGAAUCAUUGAUGUGUCAUCAGUGAUAACGUAAAGAAAAAUAAUGAUAUUACUUUACUAUUAGUGUCGUCCAAAUACUCGUGCCAGAAGACUCGGUAAGGCGAGAGACGCAAACGUUAUUCGUCUUGAUCAGGCGUAAAGGGUGUGUAGGCUGCUUUAAGUAUAUUUAUUAGGUUUAUCUUAAUCUAUUGUGUAAUUAUUUAAUUACUUGAAGUUAUGUUUGAAUCUUUAUUUAAACAUUUCUUAAAUAGAAUUUUGCUAAUAUUUAUCAAUUAAAGCUAGAAUCUAAAGGAGGUUAAAACAAUGCUUAAGGUAGGAGUACUAACCAUAAAUAUUAAGUAGAGUGCUAACGGCGAAGGCUUUUAUCCAAUAAAGAUUGACGCUGAGAAACGAAAGUGAGGGCAGAAAAAAGGAUUAGAGACCCUUGUAUUCCUCACUGUCAACGAUGAAUGGUAGUUACUAGUUAGAAAUUAGCUAGAGACGAUGUUAACACGAAAACCAUUCCGCCUUGUGAGUACAACUGCAAAGUUGAAAACAAAAAAAUUAGUCGGUUUCGGAGCAAACGAAGUGAAGCAUGUUAUUUAUUGUU
This 607-nucleotide ribosomal RNA is filed under the name Hymenochaete rheicolor. Its description in RNAcentral is "SSU rRNA". It matches the Rfam family "Bacterial small subunit ribosomal RNA", at positions 401 to 953 of the family's 1533-position model. The record is from RNAcentral. Lineage: Eukaryota; Fungi; Basidiomycota; Agaricomycetes; Hymenochaetales; Hymenochaetaceae.